This 253-nucleotide ribosomal RNA is filed under the name uncultured bacterium. RNAcentral describes it as "partial 16S ribosomal RNA". It matches the Rfam family "Bacterial small subunit ribosomal RNA", at positions 524 to 776 of the family's 1533-position model. The record is from RNAcentral.
UACGAAGGGGGCAAGCGUUGCUCGGAAUUAUUGGGCGUAAAGCGCACGUAGGCGGCUUAGCAAGUCGGAAGUGAAAUCCCACGGCUCAACCAUGGAAGUGCUUUCGAAACUGCUGAGCUUGAGUACAGAAGAGGAUCGCGGAAUUCCCGGUGUAGAGGUGAAAUUCGUAGAUAUCGGGAGGAACACCAGUGGCGAAGGCGGCGAUCUGGGUUGAUACUGACGCUGAGGUGCGAAAGCGUGGGGAGCAAACAGG